This 1259-nucleotide long non-coding RNA is filed under the name Theobroma cacao (cacao). RNAcentral's name for it is "long non-coding RNA (TCAC_LNC003941)". The record is from RNAcentral. Lineage: Eukaryota; Viridiplantae; Streptophyta; Magnoliopsida; Malvales; Malvaceae.
AGAGAGAGAAAUAAGAACAAACCCUAGAGUGAGAAAAUUCAAAGAAAAAGUGUGAUUUUUCAAGGAAUCAAGUGUUUAAAGGUAUGAUUUUUCAAGCUUAGCUUAAGAUUUAUCAUUUCCAUGCAUUUCUCCUUAUUUUCCAUGGUUAAAUUAUGUGUUUUGAUGAUGGAUUCAAAUCUGAUCAUAUGGGUUUAGAGAGAGAAAGUUGUUAGAUUAAUUUGAUUUUGAACUAUGUUAGUGUUUAGUGUUAGUUUAGCAUGUUUAUGAGUAAAACAACAAGAAAAAUAUUCAUUUUCUCCAUGAAUUUCUCUAGGCCGAAUCUAGCCAAUGGUGUGUGAGGAUGAGGUUGACUUUAUUUUAAGAGAAUUAGAUGGAAAAAUGAUGAAUUAUGAGGUUGGAAAUUUAAAGGGAAUUUUUGGUGUAAAAAAUUGAAAUUUUUACCCACUAGGGGUAAAAGCGUAAUUUGUGAUCCGAACUGAUAAAUUUGACCACAUUCACUGUCAUUGAGGUAUUGUGGAUAUAAUUGGAUAAUUGAAAUUGAAAUGGAUGGAAUUGGAGUUAAAUUGGAGAUUUUAAAAAUUUGCACCGUGUAUAGGCGAGUUAGGUUGGACACUGUGAUUAAGCGAUUGUCCAAACAUUUCACACCCUAUCUAGUGCAUAUGCAUGGAUAAGAGCCUGAAAUAAUAUGUAUUGAUUUGACUCAAAUUAUUGAAUUUUUUGUGUCAUGUAUUGUGGAUAGGUGGUGAGCUAUCUGAUACAGGUAAAAGACUACACCCGAGGACCAAGAAUAGGAGUGUAUCUACUCCUAUUACAGUGAGUAAACUUACUAUCGUCUUAAUUAUCUAGAGUAGAUUUAUUUAAUUGUGUGAUUUUAUGGAAAAAUAGUUUAAUUGGAAAAUUAUUGUGUUUUAUGGGAAAAUGGGAUUUUAUAAAAUAAUUUUAUAAAAUUUUUAAAAAUUUAAUAAUGAUUUCAAAAAUAGAGUAAUUGGAGACCUAUACUAUGAUUGUGUUGUUUAUCCAUGAUUUUAAAUUAAUUGGCUUAUGAUAAAUGUGGGUAUGACUGGUUAUUUUUAUGAUUUAAAGAAUAUGUGAACUGCUUUGAUUUGCCUUGAAUGUGUUAAGUGAGCCAUGUCAUACUAUUGUGAUUUUAUUGGUUGGUGGAUUAUAAAGUGGGCACUGCAGUGACGGGGGUUCCGUGGGUUAGCCUAAUUAGAGGGGCACGGUUCCUAAUUAUUGAGCUUACCUUGAUUGGAGAGCGC